This 1657-nucleotide long non-coding RNA is filed under the name Homo sapiens (human). RNAcentral describes it as "HSALNT0297846". Lineage: Eukaryota; Metazoa; Chordata; Mammalia; Primates; Hominidae. The record is from RNAcentral.
CCAAACUCUACAAAUAAUCUUCUGUCUUAAGAGCACCCAGGAUGUGUUUUCAUUGGUACGGAAUUAGCUAGCCCUGGGAAAGACAGUCCCUCCAGAGUUAGCAACACCCCAAGAUGUCAAAGAUAAAAAUGCAAAAAUUAAAACUCCAUGAUUAACACAACUUUGAAGUCCUUCUCACUUGUCUUUAGAUGAAGGGCAACAUCAUUGCAACAAGUCACACUUUGAGAACUCAAGAGAAUAUGUUUGUUCUGAAAAUCCAGGAAUUAUUGCCAACCCAUGGUUGUCUCCAUAUGUCUUGGGAAAAAUAGGAAAAGGAUUUUUUGAGUUGGUGAUUUGAAUCCAAGACACAAAGAUUCAGGCUCUGGUAAAAAGAUUGUAUAGGCUAUAUUGGCUGACAUAAAAGAGACAUAAAAGGCACACAAUGAAAUCUUAAUAAAUGUAUUGGAUGUUGCAGCAUUAACUGAUGAGCCAGACAAUGUAAAGACCUCAGACUACCAAAUGUUUUGAAAGACGAAUAGUGAAUGUGAAACUGUGAACCAAAAUAGAUUUUUAGAAUCCUUGAAAAAAUAGAGCUAGAGAAAGUCUUUGAGACCAUUGAUUGCAAAUAUUUGAGUUUACAACUGAGCAAAUGGAGAAAAGAGAAGUGACUCGUCAGUCCAACAAGUGGCAGAAUCAGAACCAGACCCCAAUGCUUGGGUCUUCUGUCCCUCCUGGCACCAAAGUCACCUAUCAUAAGUAACUUGAGUUUCAGAGGGGAAGGAAAAGACUACAAUGUCCCAGCACUGUUCCAGACACUUUUUAGGGGACUCCAAGACACCUUGUGUAAUGCCUAUUUUAAGUAGCUGGAAGAUUCUAUAGCAUGGGAAAAGCCCACUGAAGGCAAAAGUAAACAUUACCUAUUGUGGUCCUGGAAAAGAAAAUCAUCUCUCAUUUAUCUCCUGGAGCUGUUUGACGAACUUGUGCCCUGGUUUUACUUUGGGAGCCACCUUUCUCUUUCAGGUGCUGUCUCAGUGGAAUAGUCAACCAAUGUAUCCUACAUUUUGGACCAGCAGAAGGAAGUAAUGAGAACAGAAAACAAAUAAGAAGUGAGUUGGAGGGAGAAGGAGACUUUAGCAUCUUCCUGAAAUCAGGAAGAAAGUUUCAAGAAUAAAGUAAUCCAUAGGGUCAAAUACUGCAGUAAGUUUAAUUAGGAUGAAGACUGCAAAGAUGGUAUUAGUUUGGUACUUAGGACAUUGGUGACCUCCACAGGUGACUUUCAGGAGAAUUAUCUGGGGAACUUGUUGAUAGAAUUUGUGAAUCUCCACCUUUAGGGAUUCUGAUUUAGAAGGAGUAGGAAGAAGGCCUUAGGAUCUCCAUUUAUAACAACCACUACUGAUUAUUUUGAGGCAGGUAGCAUACAGACCACAUUUGAAAGAAACACUAGGUAAGUGUGAUUUUCAUUCAAAGGACAAAAAACAUAAAGUUACCUAAUUCAGGGACCAUUUCAAAGACCAAAUCAAAUCAGUAGCCUGGCUGAUCUGAUCGACUGCGCAGAAACUAGCCAUUACCAUGGCAAAGUGGGGAGGAACAGUCAAUAAAAAGCAAUUGAUGGCCAGGCGCGGUGGCUCACGCCUGUAAUCCCAGCACUUUGGGAGGCCAAGGCGGGCGGAUCACGAGG